This 454-nucleotide ribosomal RNA is filed under the name uncultured bacterium. RNAcentral's name for it is "bacterial SSU rRNA". It matches the Rfam family "Bacterial small subunit ribosomal RNA", at positions 340 to 786 of the family's 1533-position model. The record is from RNAcentral.
UACGGAAGGGCAGCAGUGGGGAAUAUUGCACAAUGGGCGCAAGCCUGAUGCAGCCAUGCCGCGUGUAUGAAGAAGGCCUUCGGGUUGUAAAGUACUUUCAGUCGUGAGGAAGGUGUUAAGGUUAAUAACCUUAGCAAUUGACGUUAGCGACAGAAGAAGCACCGGCUAACUCCGUGCCAGCAGCCGCGGUAAUACGGAGGGUGCGAGCGUUAAUCGGAAUUACUGGGCGUAAAGGGCACGCAGGCGGUUAAUUAAGUUGGAUGUGAAAUCCCCGGGCUUAACCUGGGAAUGGCAUUCAAGACUGGUUAGCUAGAGUCUUGUAGAGGGGGUAGAAUUCCAUGUGUAGCGGUGAAAUGCGUAGAGAUGUGGAGGAAUACCGGUGGCGAAGGCGGCCCCUGGACAAAGACUGACGCUCAUGUGCGAAAGCGUGGGGAGCAAACAGGGAUUAGAUACC